CCCUGGCUCAGGACGAACGCUGGCGGCGUGCCUAAUACAUGCAAGUCGAGCGGAUCUUGUCCUUCGGGACAAGGUUAGCGGCGGACGGGUGAGUAACACGUGGGUAACCUGCCUGUAAGACUGGGAUAACAUUCGGAAACGAAUGCUAAUACCGGAUACGCAGCUUGGUCGCAUGACCGAGCUGGGAAAGAUGGAGCAAUCUAUCACUUAUAGAUGGACCCGCGGCGCAUUAGCUAGUUGGUGAGGUAACGGCUCACCAAGGCGACGAUGCGUAGCCGACCUGAGAGGGUGAUCGGCCACACUGGGACUGAGACACGGCCCAGACUCCUACGGGAGGCAGCAGUAGGGAAUCUUCCGCAAUGGACGAAAGUCUGACGGAGCAACGCCGCGUGAGUGAUGAAGGUUUUCGGAUCGUAAAGCUCUGUUGCCAGGGAAGAAUGCUUGGGAGAGUAACUGCUCCCAAGGUGACGGUACCUGAGAAGAAAGCCCCGGCUAACUA
Molecule: ribosomal RNA, 499 nt
Filed under: Paenibacillaceae bacterium CL2.5
Lineage: Bacteria; Bacillati; Bacillota; Bacilli; Caryophanales; Paenibacillaceae
Description: bacterial SSU rRNA
Rfam family: Bacterial small subunit ribosomal RNA
Source: RNAcentral